AUUUGCAAAUUAUGGUGGAAAAUAAGUAUUUACAUAACCAGGCUUCACAUGCUUAUAGGUAUUUGCUCUUCAUCAAAAAACGACAGGACCGACAGACUCUCUUCUUUUCCUUCAGUCACCCAGCAUGUCAGAUGCCAGGCACCAACCACACCAGGAAUUCUCCUCAGGUAUUCAACCUGAGCAUCCGUCGUCACCCCUGAGAUGACUCCUUUGACAGCAGACAACCACUCCCAUCAGCUAACAACAACAAGAAGCGUCACCAGUGGGAACGCCAUCACCAAGACUGGACCAAGACUGGAAAAACAUUGCCUGGUCUGACGAAUCCCGGUUCCUGUUGUGUCAGGAUUUGGCAUACGCAGCAUGAGUCCAUUGUUUUUUUUCUUUAACCUUUAUUUUGACAGGGAAGUAUUGCUGACACUAGGGUCUCUUUUACAAACACAAUUACAAAACAUAUUCAGAAAACCAGACACAUUUAUCAACAGAGGUCUCUGAUCAUUACUCUGAACUGAUCAAGAGGGACCAGAACACCUCAUCAGAGUUGUUCCACAUAAAGCAGCUUUACCCAACUCUGGAGACCAAAGGGACCUCCAGUGUUAUCCAAGCCUGAGACCGGGUUUGAUCAUUUCUUAUGUCUAAAUUGAAUUAAUGAUGAUAGAUGCAAAGGAAGUUUCUGCAUGAGUGCUUUGUAGAUAAACACAAGAAAAUGCUGCUCUCUCCUUAUAUACAAAGAGGCCCAACCCACCUGGCCACGUCAUGCCUGGUGUCAACGGUACAGGAUGGUGGCGGUGGUGUAAUGGAUGUAAAAAAUGUUCUGUGUAAUGAAAAGAAAAUGUUUCUCCUUGCCAAUGUGAACAAACUGAAUGUAAACAUGCAGGGGAAAUACAAAACAAUUCUGGCUAAGUUGACAUGCUGGAAAGUGAAAUUGAACAGCUGAUUGAGCUGUUCGAAUGCUGCAGACAACCAGUGGUGACAACGUCGUUCAGGGCAGGUGGAGCUUUUGUUUCGCAUGUUAUUUGCAUGUUAUUUUGGCAUUAAUACGUGUCACAUAUCAGUUUGAAAACAAUUUUCAAAAUAUAUAUAAUUUGAGGUAAUAAAGCCGCAUAAAAACAUGGUCCCUUUUUUUUUUUCUUGAGUAAGACAGCUCCAAAAUGCAGGUGUUUCAGCCUAGCUCGGUGCUUUCUGUGGUGGUGGGGCAAGCCAGCGGAAAAUACAGAGCAUUGCGCCGUGAUUGGCUCAGUGUCCUGUCACUCAUGGGGACACUACGUCACCGCCAAGUCUAAGGGUAAGAGCUAGAAAAUUCAAGCCCCUUGGGUGCUGCCAUAGACUUACAUUAGAAGUGCCCAUCCAAGAAGGCUCAAG
Long non-coding RNA from Oncorhynchus nerka (sockeye salmon), 1359 nucleotides. RefSeq lists it as uncharacterized. The transcript is spliced from 2 exons. The record is from RefSeq and is a predicted model, not a curated record. NCBI's taxonomy places the organism in Eukaryota, Metazoa, Chordata, Actinopteri, Salmoniformes, Salmonidae.